This 515-nucleotide ribosomal RNA is filed under the name uncultured bacterium. Its description in RNAcentral is "bacterial SSU rRNA". It matches the Rfam family "Bacterial small subunit ribosomal RNA", at positions 15 to 518 of the family's 1533-position model. The record is from RNAcentral.
GAUAUGGCUCAGGAUGAACGCUAGCGGCAGGCUUAACACAUGCGAAGUCGAGGGGCAGCGCGAGGUAGCAAUACUUGGCGGCGACCGGCGAAAGGGUGCGUAACGCGUGAGCAACUUGCCCGUAAUCUAGGGGACAUAACGCGGUGGAAACGCCGUCUAAUUUCCCAUAACAACAGAGGCCGCAUGACCUUUGUUUGAAAGAUCCGUCGGAUACGGAUGGGCUCGCGAGACAUUAGCUAGUCGGCGUGGUAACGGCACACCGAGGCGACGAUGUCUAGGGGUUCUGAGAGGAAGGUCCCCCACACUGGAACUGAGACACGGUCCAGACUCCUACGGGAGGCAGCAGUGAGGGAUAUUGGUCAAUGGGCGACAAGCCUGAACCAGCCAUGCCGCGUGAAAAGGAAUAAGGCCCUAUGGGUCGUAAACUUCUUUUGUGGUGGAGCAAUAAGGUGUACGUGUACACCGAUGAGAGUACAUCACGAAUAAGCAUCGGCUAACUCCGUGCCAGCCGCCGC